UACGGAGGGUGCAAGCGUUAAUCGGAAUUACUGGGCGUAAAGCGCACGUAGGCGGUUUUUUAAGUCAGAUGUGAAAGCCCCGGGCUCAACCUGGGAAUUGCAUUUGAAACUGGGAAACUAGAGUGUGUGAGAGGGGGGUAGAAUUCCAAGUGUAGCGGUGAAAUGCGUAGAGAUUUGGAGGAAUACCAGUGGCGAAGGCGGCCCCCUGGCACAACACUGACGCUCAGGUGCGAAAGCGUGGGGAGCAAACAGG
RNAcentral lists this ribosomal RNA (253 nucleotides) under uncultured bacterium. Its description in RNAcentral is "partial 16S ribosomal RNA". It matches the Rfam family "Bacterial small subunit ribosomal RNA", at positions 524 to 776 of the family's 1533-position model. The record is from RNAcentral.